UACGUAGGGCGCGAGCGUUGUCCGGAAUCAUUGGGCGUAAAGAGCUCGUAGGCGGCCGGUUGCGUCUGCUGUGAAAUCCCGGGGCUUAACCCCGGGCGUGCAGUGGAUACGGGCUGGCUGGAGGCAGGCAGGGGAGAAUGGAAUUCCCGGUGUAGCGGUGAAAUGCGCAGAUAUCGGGAGGAACACCGGUGGCGAAGGCGGGUCUCUGGGCCGAUACUGACGCUGAGGAGCGAAAGCGUGGGGAGCGAACAGG
RNAcentral lists this ribosomal RNA (253 nucleotides) under uncultured bacterium. Its description in RNAcentral is "partial 16S ribosomal RNA". It matches the Rfam family "Bacterial small subunit ribosomal RNA", at positions 524 to 776 of the family's 1533-position model. The record is from RNAcentral.